This 25-nucleotide non-coding RNA is filed under the name Rattus norvegicus (Norway rat). The record is from RNAcentral. Lineage: Eukaryota; Metazoa; Chordata; Mammalia; Rodentia; Muridae.
UGGUUAGUCUUAUUCAUUGGCAGGC